GUCUCUCUCUGUCUCAAAAAUAAAUAAAAACGUUUAAAAAAAAAUUUUUUUUUAAAAUAUGACAUUAGGUACAUGUAGUGAUUUUGCUUCUAAACCUCUGUUCUAAACAGAACAUGCCGGGGCAGUGACUUACGUCGAGACGGGACCGAGAAGCAGAGUUCUAGAUGUCUCCGAAAAUUACAAGAAAGUCCACGAUCCCGGGAGGGCUUGUGGAUCUUGAAAAGCUAGGGGUUUCACCCUAAUCAUGACCUGAGAGGUCUCUUCCCUCCCCUUCAAUUCCAGAAAUGUAUUUGAUGCUCCAGACAUACAUACCACAGACCCUGGACGUGAUGAGUCCUCUAUCCUGACGAAGCACACGUGGAAGGGUAUGACCCGUGCUUCCUCGGACCAGACAGUCAAAGGAAGAGACCCCCUCAAUACCCAGACAAAAAAAAGAACACUUGGAGAAAGAUCAACUUCACGUGCCCAAGCAACGCUUCAUCAACUUUGGAAUGUCACAAACGAUGUGAUUCUACAAGGCACCGGGAGACUGGCAGAAGGUUGCCAACUGUACCUUUUGCCAAAUGAAGUAAUAUUUUAAACAGCCCUGUCUGCAAUAGCUGUUAGUUGGUACAUGCGUCCCUCGGUCAAGACUGUGGCUCAAGAGUUUCGGUCCUGGGGUGCGUGGGUGGUGCAGUCAGUUGAGCGUCCGACGGUCAUGGGAUGGAGCAUGGUCAGCAUGGAGCCUGCUGGAGACUCUCUCUCUCUCUCUCUCUCUCUCUCUCUGCGCCCCUCUCCCCCGCGUGUGCUCUUUCCCUCUCUCAAAUAAAAUUAAA
RNAcentral lists this long non-coding RNA (815 nucleotides) under Felis catus (domestic cat). Its description in RNAcentral is "lncRNA (ENSFCAG00000051784.1)". Lineage: Eukaryota; Metazoa; Chordata; Mammalia; Carnivora; Felidae. The record is from RNAcentral.